Molecule: small nuclear RNA, 107 nt
Organism: Equus asinus (donkey)
Lineage: Eukaryota; Metazoa; Chordata; Mammalia; Perissodactyla; Equidae
Source: Ensembl
GUGCUCACUUUUUCAGUACUAACACUAAAAUUGGAAUGAUACAGAGACUAUUAGCCUCACCCCUGAGUAGGAAUGACAUGAAAAUUCAUGGAGCCUUCCAUACUUUU